GCCAGGUGCUGACCCCUUUCUCGAAGGAGAUUAAUAUCAAUGGGACUAUUUUCCCUACACAAGGAGAGUCUGCAUAAUGAGAGGAGCAAAAGAAGUUGUUUGUUCACAGAACUUGCAGAAGUCUCAAGCCCCUUCUUCAGAUGAGCGCAUUCCUCUGAUGUUGAACCUUCUAGGACAUCAAGCUCCAGGAGGUGAACGGUGAAUUACCCUGGUGAUGGGUGCUAUUUGGAGGCGUAUACUGCUGUAAUGAGAAUGUACCAUGGUUCCCCUUGAAGUAAGACAUUGGCUAUUGCUGGUAGUUACUGCCUUGCAAAGUAUUAAUGUUCGGUUAUAGCGCAGUCAUGUAGGAAAAUUAUAGAUGCCUACAGGGUGUUACUUAGCAACACUCGGUAUUGUUGAGUUAGUA
This 406-nucleotide long non-coding RNA is filed under the name Gallus gallus (chicken). RNAcentral describes it as "long non-coding RNA NONGGAT002216". Lineage: Eukaryota; Metazoa; Chordata; Aves; Galliformes; Phasianidae. The record is from RNAcentral.